UCUUCUGUAGGCAAAUCCGCAGAGGGUGCUGAAGUCCAACAGUACCAGGAGGCUCCGGCCGAAUGGAUAGAGAAUGUAAGCAGACUUCCGUGAAAAUCUUCUAAGCAUAUUGAUACGGUACCCGUACCGCAAACCGACACAGGUAGUCAAGGAGAGAAUCCUGAGGUGCUCGAGUGAGUCAUGGCUAAGGAACUAGGCAAAUUAAACCUGUAACUUCGGGAAAAGGGUUGCCUCUCUUUAGCAAUAAAGAAGGUCGCAGAGAAAUGGCCCAGGCGACUGUUUAACAAAAACACAUGCUAUGCGAAAUCGUAAGAUGAAGUAUAUGGCCUGACACCUGCCCGGUGCUGGAAGGUUAAGGGGGGACGUUAGUCGCAAGGCGAAGCGUUGAACUGAAGCCCCAGUAAACGGCGGCCGUAACUAUAACGGUCCUAAGGUAGCGAAAUUCCUUGUCGGGUAAGUUCCGACCUGCACGAAUGGUGUAACGAUCUGGGCACUGUCUCAGCCAUGAGCUCGGUGAAAUUGUAGUCACGGUGAAGAUGCCGUGUACCCGUCACGGGACGGAAAGACCCCAUGCACCUUUACUAUAGCUUCGCAUUGACAUUGGGUAGAUGAUGUGUAGGAUAGGUGGGAGACAUUGAUCCUGUGCCGCUAGGUAUAGGGGAGUCAACGGUGAAAUACCACCCUUUAUUUAUCUGAUGUCUAAUCCGCAAGACCUGCGGAGACAGUGCGUGGUGGGUAGUUUGACUGGGGUGUCGCCUCCGAAAGUGUAUCGGAGGCUUUCAAAGGUAUGCUCAAUACGCUUGGUAACCGUAUGUGGAGUGCAAUAGCAUAAGCAUGCUUGACUGUGAGACUGACAAGUCGAGCAGGGUCGAAAGACGGAUAUAGUGAUCCGGUGGUUCUGUAUGGAAGGGCCAUCGCUCAAAGGAUAAAAGGUACGCCGGAUAACAGGCUGAUCUCCCCCAAGAGCUCACAUCGACGGGGAGGUUUGGCACCUCGAUGUCGGCUCGUCACAUCCUGGGGCUGGAGAAGGUCCCAAGGGUUAGGCUGUUCGCCUAUUAAAGUGGCACGCGAGCUGGGUUCAGAACGUCGUGAGACAGUCGGUCCCUAUCUGUGAUGGGCGUAGGAAGUUUGAGAGGAUCUGACCUUAGUACGAGAGGACCGGGUUGGACCAACCGCUGGUGUACCGGUUGUGGCGUCAGCUGCAUCGCCGGGUAGCUACGUUGGGACGAGAUAAGCGCUGAAAGCAUCUAAGCGCGAAACUCACCUCAAGAUGAGACUUCCAUUAAGGGACGUCAGAGACUAUGACGUUGAUAGGCUGCAGGUGUAAAGGCAGAAAUGUCAAAGCUGAGCAGUACUAAUUACUC
RNAcentral lists this ribosomal RNA (1364 nucleotides) under metagenome. Its description in RNAcentral is "bacterial LSU rRNA". It matches the Rfam family "Bacterial large subunit ribosomal RNA", at positions 1526 to 2910 of the family's 2925-position model. The record is from RNAcentral.